Molecule: long non-coding RNA, 667 nt
Organism: Clupea harengus (Atlantic herring)
Lineage: Eukaryota; Metazoa; Chordata; Actinopteri; Clupeiformes; Clupeidae
Source: Ensembl
AUUCUGAUAACCUAGGUCUGAAGGUCUGAUAACCUAGCUCAUUGAGCACUGCACAGCACAACUUUACUCGUAACAAUGCCUUUUAAGCACAAGAGUGGAAGUAGAAAAGGGCAAGAGAAAAAAGAACAGGAUGAGAAGGCGGCAAAGCUGCCCAAAUUAGAUUAUUUUGGCUUUUGAAUUGCCGUCAACUAGUCGCCAGAUCACGGAGUCAGUUCAGCUGGGAUCAGAAUCGCUGGUUCUGCCCUCAGUGGUGUGUCAGCAACCAUGCAACAGUUAACAAUUGUUACGACCCAGCUGAGCCGAGUGGAUCGAUGGCAGGUCGACCGAGCCCAGACACUGUGUGUGUGCACUUGAGUGCUGACGCUGUGACAUCAGAGGACACCCACCCCAGUGCAGUCCUCCUCUGGGGCGACCAUCAUGGGCAUUUCAAAGAGAGCCGCUUCCACCAUGGCAACACAGUGAAGGAGAUGAGUACAGGUCCAGCGGUGCUACGAAAGAGUCUGAACCCUGAUGACUCAGUAAUGCUGGGCUGCUGUGCUGGUUACCAUGGAAGAGAGAGGUCCAUAGCUGCAGCCUAAUGGUUAUUUCCUGCCAGGAGUGAAGCAAGGAGGUGUAUUCUGUGGAAGCACAUUUGACGAUUCCAUCUUUCUAUCUUGCUCCCUUUCGG